CAUAUAAGAGGUCCCGCCUGCCCUGUGACUUGGUAGUUUAACGGCCGCGGUAUUUUGACCGUGCGAAGGUAGCGUAAUCACUUGUCUUUUAAAUGAAGACCUGUAUGAAUGGCAUUACGAGGGCUAAGCUGUCUCCUUUUUCCAGUCAAUGAAAUUAAUCUUCCCGUGCAGAAGCGGGAAUCCACACAUAAGACGAGAAGACCCUAUGGAGCUUUAGACAAAGGACAGUUCAUAUUAAAAUAACUAUAUAAACAGAACAAACCAAAUGAUUUCUCUCCCUAUGUCUUUGGUUGGGGCGACCACGGGGGAACAAAAAUCCCCCAUGUGGAAUAGGAACUUUUUUUCCUCAAGACCAGAGCCACAGCUCUAACAAACAGAAUUUCUGACCAACAAGACCCGGCUAAAGCCGAUCAACGGACUGAGUUACCCUAGGGAUAACAGCGCAAUCCCCUUUUAGAGCCCAUAUCGACAAGGGGGUUUACGACCUCGAUGUUGGAUCAGGACAUCCUAAUGGUGCAGCCGCUAUUAAGGGUUCGUUUGUUCAACGAUUAAAGUCCUACGUGAUCUGAGUUCAGACCGGAGUAAUCCA
RNAcentral lists this ribosomal RNA (589 nucleotides) under Akihito futuna. RNAcentral's name for it is "partial 16S ribosomal RNA". It matches the Rfam family "Bacterial large subunit ribosomal RNA", at positions 1842 to 2628 of the family's 2925-position model. Lineage: Eukaryota; Metazoa; Chordata; Actinopteri; Gobiiformes; Gobiidae. The record is from RNAcentral.